UUGUCCCAGCCAGCCUGGCUCACCCGCAGCCGGCUGGCCUCCUCCUCCCUCACCCCAUUAGGAACUUGGCAAAAGCACUGUUUCCCAGUGGCAAGAGCCUCGGGGCCACCU
This 111-nucleotide microRNA precursor is filed under the name Microtus ochrogaster (prairie vole). RNAcentral describes it as "miRNA (ENSMOCG00000009282.1)". Lineage: Eukaryota; Metazoa; Chordata; Mammalia; Rodentia; Cricetidae. The record is from RNAcentral.